AACCUUACAAAUGUAAUAUAUGUGGCAAGGUCUGUAGUCAAAAGUCAAACCUUGCAAGUCAUCAGAGAAUUCAUACUGGAGAGAAACCUUACAAGUGUACCCAAAGUUUAAGCCUUGUGGAACAGAAUUCUUACUAGAGAGAAACCUUAUAAAUGUAAUGAGUGUGACCAGCUUUAUAAAAAAUGUACAACUUUGUGGUCAUGAAAGAAUUCAUAUAAGAUGAAAACCAUACAAAGCUAUCAAGGUCUGUAAACAAUGACCUCAUGAUACACCUAAGAAUUCAGGCAGAAAUAUUCAGACAGAAUUAGUACCCAUGUAAGGAAAGUGAUGAAUUGUUUCACCAAUUCUCUCAAUGAACUGUACAUAAGAAAAUUCAUAGUAGAGGCAACUAAGUCUAUUGUUUUCGAAGAUUAACCAACCUCAGAUGUUAAAUUCCACAGACAAUUAAAAGUGAAAUUGUUUAAAACUCGUGAGAUGAUGUGUGUCCAUGUAGUAAGGACAUCUGUGGAAGGGUCUAAUUACCCUCAGUUUAUAAAAUGAUUUCAUUCAGUUCUUUGAGGUUUCUGGAAAAGGCUACAUUUAUUGAUGGCUUACCACCUGAAGUUUGAAACCUGUUUUGUUAUACUUUCAUACAUGCUUUUCAUUUCUCACCAUUAUGGUCUCAGGGAAGGGAUCCGUAAGAUGAAAGGAGCUCCUUCAUUAGAUGGCGUUUAUUCAUACCCAUGGAACCUGGAAAAACUAGGACAGUAAUUUUAAGAUACAAUCUAGUAUAAAUUUGAGAACACGGGAAGUGGCAGGGAAUAGAUGUAAAAGUAUUAUCUAAAUUAUUAUGCUUUCUUAGGUCAUUGGCCCUUCUCUAGAUUUGUUUGUAUGACUCUGGACCUCUGUUGACAGUUAUAGGAGAGGAUUGCCGUACUGGUGAUCAUGAAACCGAGUAGGCCAGGAUAUUGAGAGAAGGACAUUUUCACUGAGUAGAAUGAUGGGGUGGCGUAUGUGGUACAAAAAAUGGAGCAGGAACCAUGGUCUCUCUUUUGAAAAGUAAUACCUGGUGCGUAUCACAGAUUAAUGAAAAUUAGUCUUAUUUUUGGAAACUGAAGAGACAUAGAGGACAGUUUAAUCAAAAGAACCAGAGUACAAGAUGCUUGUGUAAGAUUCAUAUUUGGCCACUGAAAUUGUAUUUUGAUACUCUUUUAUUUAGAAUGUAUCAUACUUCUCAUGUCCACGUAAGUAAAAUAAAAUGUUUUUUGUAACUGUGAAUGGAUCAUGUGCCUUCUAUUCAUCCAAACACAUCCUGCCUCAUUGGGGUGCUUCAUUAGCUCUCUAGGCUGAAUGGCGUAAAUAUUUUCUUCCCACGUUAGAUUCAAAGAACUUACAAUUUUGGAAAUACAUAUUCAUAAUUUGCAUUUUAUUGGCUGAGAAAUUAGGAGACACAUGGCUUUGUAUGCGAAGCUAUUAGUAGAGUGAAGAAAGUCAUUAUGUUGGAGUGAUCUCCACCACAUAUAAAAAGCAAAAUGUAGAAUAUUCUGUAUAGCAGGUAUUUGUUGUAAAAAUAAACCUCAAAAUCAUACCAAAGGUAACUUACUGAAGAAUAGAGAGUGUUUGAGAAUGCAGAUUGGAAUUGGGGAUACUCAUAGUAUAUGUGUUUAAUAUAGUUUUAACUUUUAAGACAAAAAAUCUUGUGUGUGUAAAAUAACAGUAAAAAAAUUAAAAAUUAUAAUGUAACAAAGAAUUCCUGUCUUUAGGAACAGACAAAUUUAAAAUAUGCAUUUUAAAUUUUCACCCUCAAUUGAAUGUAUUCUGUG
Molecule: long non-coding RNA, 1802 nt
Organism: Equus caballus (horse)
Lineage: Eukaryota; Metazoa; Chordata; Mammalia; Perissodactyla; Equidae
Source: Ensembl